This 897-nucleotide ribosomal RNA is filed under the name Triticum aestivum (bread wheat). RNAcentral's name for it is "partial small subunit ribosomal RNA". The record is from RNAcentral. Lineage: Eukaryota; Viridiplantae; Streptophyta; Magnoliopsida; Poales; Poaceae.
AUGAAAGACACGCUAUCGCACGAAGCUUUCGUAAAGCUAUCGGUAACCCUGUGGGCAAUUUGGUGGGCGAGGAGGAAAGCAAUACAUGAUGAAAUUUUCCAGAGUCCUUCAGCUACUCACCUGUUUAUAUGCACUUUUAUUAGAGAACUUGAUAUCCUUUCAGUUAAAAAGGUCAGCCAGCAGGCAGUUAAUGGGGCGGGUGCACAGUGACCCAAAGCACCCCCACCGGGCUUCAUGAAAAUUCAUGUUGAUGCUAGCAUUGCAAGAAACCAGAGCAGAGGAGCUGCCUCGGCCGUGUGCAGAGAUGCUAAUGGGAAUUAUUUUGGAAGCUCCUCGCUGGUCAUCGAGGGAUUAAGCAAUGCUACAACUAUGGAAGCAAUUGCUUGCAGGGAGGCUCUCUCCUUGGCAGAUGAUCUGAUGCUACAGAACUUUGUUGUGGCGUCUGACUCAAAGCAGGUUGUGGGUGAGAUCAAUAAUGGCGCCAAUGGUGUACACGGAGCCAUUUUAUCAGAGAUAAAGAAUAGGGCUCUUUUGUUUAACUGCAUUUUUACUUUUGAAGGCCGAGCGGUUAAUCGCGACGCCGAUAGGUUAGCCAAGUUUUCAAACUCUUUAGAUCAGGGAAGACAUGUUUGGUUCAACAACCCCCAUGAUCCGAUUAUAAUGCCACUCCAUGUGGAGUUUGAUCAAGAAAACUUGGUGAUACCCCUAAAAAAAGAUGAUUCGUGGAUCCGUUCACUUCUAUAUUACAACGUGGCACACUGCGUUUCGGCUCUUGAGGACCCGGACCUGGUACAUGUGCUUGAGAAUAAUUUAGAGCAUGAUGCCAAACGUUGGAUAUUUUUGUUAUUGGAAGCUCUACCACAUGAUGAUUUCACCAAUGUUCUUGUAACUAUCUAA